This is a long non-coding RNA of Daucus carota subsp. sativus, 1146 nucleotides long. RefSeq lists it as uncharacterized. The record is from RefSeq and is a predicted model, not a curated record. NCBI's taxonomy places the organism in Eukaryota, Viridiplantae, Streptophyta, Magnoliopsida, Apiales, Apiaceae. The transcript has 3 exons.
AAGUCACUGCUAGCCUAUACUUAAUCGAUGAAAUAUGCUUUAGUCCAAAUUAAGUUUUACCUUUCUCAGUCCAUUAAUAUACAUCAAUGACCCGUUAAAUGGAAUAAUAGGUUUUAGUCCAAAUUAAGUUCUACCUUUCACAGUCCAUUAACACACACCCUUGACCCAUUAAAGUAAUACCGAAUUAAGUAAAGUAGUAGAACUAUGAAAUUGUUUAGUAGAACUAUGAAAUCUGUUAUUCUUUCAGCAGAAGUUCACUAGAAAGUGUCAUUUUUGUUGGAUGAUUAGUAGUUCACUUUGUUUAUUGCUUUUACUUUGUCCAAUACCAUAUAGAUGGUUCAAUGGAAAGCUUUUCGGUAGAUGACAUGGAGAUUGCCUGCAGCCCAUGCUACUGAAUUCAACUUCCAUAAACACUGAUAUGUACUUUAUAGAAGCAAUGAAUUACAACCUGAUGGUCAUCUUUAUCUCUUUCCUUCAAGUUCUUUUGUUGUUCAGCAAUGGACCAUAGCAGCACACAUCUCUUUGGCAGUUGGCAGAGUUUCAAUUACGGCAAUUGGGCCAUGGAUGCAUACCUUUGUGCUUUACAUCUGGUAGUAGGAAUCGCAGCCGCUGCAGAUCCCUUAUUCAAUGCAUUUGCUACUGCUGCAUUUUUGAAGUUCGGGCCUCAUGUCUUGGUAUCCCGUGUUGUUGUGCUUGCAAUAUAAACUGAGGUAGUGUUUGUUUUGAUUUUAUACUGAUGAAGAAUUUGACCAAGAGUUUGUACACAUACUUCGUCGACAGAGCAUAGUGUUUUCCAGAGGAACAUACUUCGUCGACAGAGCUACAUAGUGUUUUCCAGAGGAAGUUUUGAUUUUAUACGGAUGAAGAAUUUGACCAAGAGUUUGUACACAUACUUCGUCGACAGAGCAUAGUGUUUUCUAGAGGAAGUUCGAGAUAUCCAGGAGUUACUCUACAAAAAUGCUAUUAGUUAUUAUCUUUCUAGUACUUGUAUGCUUUUAGUUAUUUGCAAAACUUGUAGGCUUUAAGUUAUUUGCAAGACUUGUAUGCAUUAAAUAAUUUCUGUAGCUCAUGGAUUUUGAUGGUGCUUGUGGUUUUAAGACUGAUUGAUUGUAAUAUUCAAAUUUGAUGGGAAAUGCAAUAUUUAAA